GGCACUAUGGCGGAGUGGUUAUCGCGCAGCCCUCGAAUGAAAGGCUGUUCCCUCGGGAGCAAGAGUUCGAAUCUCUUUGGUGUCG
This is a non-coding RNA of Ustulina deusta, 85 nucleotides long. Lineage: Eukaryota; Fungi; Ascomycota; Sordariomycetes; Xylariales; Xylariaceae. The record is from the annotation of a GenBank genome assembly.